GACGGAGGGUGCUAGCGUUGUUCGGAAUGACUGGGCGUAAAGGGCGCGUAGGCGGCCUGGAAAGUCGGGUGUGAAAGCCCGGGGCUCAACCCCGGAACGGCAUCCGAUACUGCCAGGCUGGAGACCGGGAGAGGAGGGUGGAAUACCCAGUGUAGAGGUGAAAUUCGUAGAUAUUGGGUGGAACACCGGUGGCGAAAGCGGCUCUCUGGCCCGGAUCUGACGCUGAGGCGCGAAAGCGUGGGGAGCAAAC
Molecule: ribosomal RNA, 250 nt
Filed under: uncultured bacterium
Lineage: Bacteria
Description: partial 16S ribosomal RNA
Rfam family: Bacterial small subunit ribosomal RNA
Source: RNAcentral